UCAACCUCAAAUCAGGUAGGAUCACCCGCUGAACUUAAGCAUAUCAG
Molecule: ribosomal RNA, 47 nt
Filed under: Auritella arenicolens
Lineage: Eukaryota; Fungi; Basidiomycota; Agaricomycetes; Agaricales; Inocybaceae
Description: partial large subunit ribosomal RNA
Source: RNAcentral